GAGUUUGAUCGUGGCUCAGAUUGAACGCUGGCGGCAUGCCUUACACAUGCAAGUCGAACGGCAGCACGGGAGCUUGCUCCUGGUGGCGAGUGGCGGACGGGUGAGUAAUGCAUCGGAACGUAUCCUGGAGUGGGGGAUAACGUAGCGAAAGUUACGCUAAUACCGCAUAUUCUGUGAGCAGGAAAGCGGGGGACCUUCGGGCCUCGCGCUCUUGGAGCGGCCGAUGUCGGAUUAGCUAGUUGGUGAGGUAAAGGCUCACCAAGGCGACGAUCCGUAGCAGGUCUGAGAGGAUGAUCUGCCACACUGGAACUGAGACACGGUCCAGACUCCUACGGGAGGCAGCAGUGGGGAAUUUUGGACAAUGGGGGCAACCCUGAUCCAGCCAUGCCGCGUGAGUGAAGAAGGCCUCGGUUGUAAG
Molecule: ribosomal RNA, 418 nt
Filed under: bacterium enrichment culture clone ALO1_GLFRUDD03FTJ8Z
Lineage: Bacteria
Description: bacterial SSU rRNA
Rfam family: Bacterial small subunit ribosomal RNA
Source: RNAcentral